This 576-nucleotide ribosomal RNA is filed under the name Asaia bogorensis. RNAcentral's name for it is "bacterial SSU rRNA". It matches the Rfam family "Bacterial small subunit ribosomal RNA", at positions 35 to 656 of the family's 1533-position model. Lineage: Bacteria; Pseudomonadati; Pseudomonadota; Alphaproteobacteria; Acetobacterales; Acetobacteraceae. The record is from RNAcentral.
GCUGGCGGCAUGCUUACACAUGCAAGUCGCACGGACCCUUCGGGGUGAGUGGCGGACGGGUGAGUAUCGCGUAGGGAUCUAUCCACGGGUGGGGGAUAACAUCGGGAAACUGGUGCUAAUACCGCAUGAUACCUGAGGGUCAAAGGCGCAAGUCGCCUGUGGAGGAGCCUGCGUUCGAUUAGCUUGUUGGUGGGGUAAAGGCCUACCAAGGCGAUGAUCGAUAGCUGGUCUGAGAGGAUGAUCAGCCACACUGGGACUGAGACACGGCCCAGACUCCUACGGGAGGCAGCAGUGGGGAAUAUUGGACAAUGGGCGAAAGCCUGAUCCAGCAAUGCCGCGUGUGUGAAGAAGGUCUUCGGAUUGUAAAGCACUUUCGACGGGGACGAUGAUGACGGUACCCGUAGAAGAAGCCCCGGCUAACUUCGUGCCAGCAGCCGCGGUAAUACGAAGGGGGCUAGCGUUGCUCGGAAUGACUGGGCGUAAAGGGCGCGUAGGCGGUUUACACAGUCAGAUGUGAAAUUCCAGGGCUUAACCUUGGGGCUGCAUUUGAUACGUGUAGACUAGAGUGUGAGAGAG